Molecule: ribosomal RNA, 459 nt
Filed under: uncultured bacterium
Lineage: Bacteria
Description: partial 16S ribosomal RNA
Rfam family: Bacterial small subunit ribosomal RNA
Source: RNAcentral
CCUACGGGUGACAGCAGUGAGGAAUAUUGGUCAAUGGGCGGGAGCCUGAACCAGCCAAGCCGCGUGAAGGAAGAAGGCCCUAAGCGUCGUAAACUUCUUUUGUCGGGGAACAAAGUGCGCCACGUGUGCCGUUGUGAGUGUACGCUAUGAAAAAGCAUCGGCUAACUCCGUGCCAGCAGCCGCGGUACUACGGAGGAUGCGAGCGUUAUCCGGAUUUAUUGGGUUUAAAGGGUGCGUAGCCGGUCCGGAAAGUCAGCGGUAAAAGCCCGGGGCCAAACCCCGACGUGCCGUUGAAACUGGCGGACUAGAGAAGGCGAGAGGUACGCGGAAUGCGCGGUGUAGCGGUGAAAGGCAUAGAUAUCGCGAAGAACUCCGAUUGCGAAGGCAGCGUACCGGCGCCGGACUGACGCUGAGGCACGAAAGCGUGGGUAUCGAACAGGAUUAGAUACCCCAGUAGUC